Molecule: ribosomal RNA, 1597 nt
Filed under: metagenome
Description: bacterial LSU rRNA
Rfam family: Bacterial large subunit ribosomal RNA
Source: RNAcentral
UCAGUAGUGCGAAUGCUGACAUGAGUAGCGUUAAAGGGGGUGAAAAGCCCCCUCGCCGUAAGCGCAAGGUUUUCUACGCAACGUUCAUCGGCGUAGAGUGAGUCGGCCCCUAAGGCGAGGCAGAGAUGCGUAGCUGAUGGGAAACGGGUCAAUAUUCCUGUACCGAUGUGUAGUGCGAUGUGGGGACGGAGAAGGUUAGCUCAGCCAACUGUUGGAUAUGUUGGUUCAAGCCUGUAGUCGUGCCCGGUAGGCAAAUCCGCCGGGCUUAGAUGAGGGGUGAUAACGAGGCUGCUUGCAGCCGAAGUGAGUGAUACCCUGCUUCCAGGAAAAGCCACUAAGCUUCAGCUACACACGACCGUACCGCAAACCGACACUGGUGCGCGAGAUGAGUAUUCUAAGGCGCUUGAGAGAACUCAGGAGAAGGAACUCGGCAAAUUGAUACCGUAACUUCGGGAGAAGGUAUGCCCCAAGUAGGUGAACCUGUACAAGGCGAGCCCAAAGGGGUUGCAAAAAAUCGGUGGCUGCGUCUGUUUAAUAAAAACACAGCACUCUGCAAACACGAAAGUGGACGUAUAGGGUGUGACGCCUGCCCGGUGCUGGAAGAUUAAAUGAUGGGGUGCAAGCUCUUGACUGAAGUCCCAGUAAACGGCGGCCGUAACAAUAACGGUCCUAAGGUAGCGAAAUUCCUUGUCGGGUAAGUUCCGACCUGCACGAAUGGCGUAACGAUGGCCACACUGUCUCCUCCUGAGACUCAGCGAAGUUGAAAUGUUUGUGAUGAUGCAAUCUCCCCGCGGAAAGACGGAAAGACCCCAUGAACCUUUACUGUAGCUUUGUAUUGGACUUUGAACAGAUCUGUGUAGGAUAGGUGGGAGGCUUUGAAGUGAGGUCGCUAGAUCUCAUGGAGCCAACGUUGAAAUACCACCCUGGUGUGUUUGAGGUUCUAACCUAGGUCCAUUAUCUGGAUCGGGGACAGUGCAUGGUAGGCAGUUUGACUGGGGCGGUCUCCUCCCAAAGCGUAACGGAGGAGUUCGAAGGUACGCUAGUUACGGUCGGACAUCGUGACGAUAGUGCAAUGGCAUAAGCGUGCUUAACUGCGAGACUGACAAGUCGAGCAGAUGCGAAAGCAGGACAUAGUGAUCCGGUGGUUCUGUAUGGAAGGGCCAUCGCUCAACGGAUAAAAGGUACUCUGGGGAUAACAGGCUGAUACCGCCCAAGAGUUCAUAUCGACGGCGGUGUUUGGCACCUCGAUGUCGGCUCAUCUCAUCCUGGGGCUGUAGCCGGUCCCAAGGGUAUGGCUGUUCGCCAUUUAAAGAGGUACGUGAGCUGGGUUUAAAACGUCGUGAGACAGUUUGGUCCCUAUCUUCCGUGGGCGCUGCAGAUUUGAGGAAGCCUACUCCUAGUACGAGAGGACCGGAGUGGACACACCUCUGGUGUAUCGGUUGUCACGCCAGUGGCAUUGCCGAGUAGCUAAGUGUGGAAGAGAUAACCGCUGAAAGCAUCUAAGCGGGAAACUCGUUUCAAGAUGAGAUCUGCCGGGGCCUUGAGCCCCCUAAAGAGUCGUUCAAGACCAGGACGUUGAUAGGUCAGGUGUGGAAGC